Molecule: long non-coding RNA, 911 nt
Organism: Glycine soja
Lineage: Eukaryota; Viridiplantae; Streptophyta; Magnoliopsida; Fabales; Fabaceae
Exons: 2
Source: RefSeq, a predicted model, not a curated record
CAAAUGACAUUUCAUUUGAAAAGCAAACCAAAAACUUGAAUGACCUCAAAUAGGUAAACACAAAGGCAAAGAUGAGCGGAUUUGAUACUUAGACAAACCAUUUGACAGAUAAAUUUGAGACUGAAAUGGACUCAUAUUAAGCUGCAAAAGUAGACGAGUGGACUUAUGUUUUUUUAAAAGGAAAAUCAAUCCAAUGAAGCAUCAUUAUCAGAGGAAGGUUUAGUAGAGCCACCGAUUGUGAUGCAAAGUUUUACAGAUUAUGAAAUACAUGGAGAUGGCUUUCACGGGAGGAAAUAUCGGCAGAAGGUGGUGAAGGGAAAUCCAUAUCCCAGAAGUUACUAUAGAUGUACUAAUAUCAGAUGUAAUGUUCGCAAACAUGUGGACAUCAUGCUAGCGGGUUAAGGGGGCAAUUAAAAAAAGCUAGACCACAUGAAAUACAACCGCUGCAUGUAAACCUGGACCAAGAUAUUUGCUUGACAUGCUCCACCACUGCAUCAAAAUCAGGGGUCUUCUGAAAAAUAAUAGAAUUUGUAUGUAGCCAUAAACACCACCAAGUGGCGUGCCAUAUCAGUUUCAGAUUGGUAAUGUUUUGAUUGAAGGAAAGAACCAUUUGAGAAACUAAUGAACCUUAUACCAAUAUGCUUUAUUCUUCCAUAAUUAUUUAAUCUUAGAUUGACUCUGGUUCUUUCUGAAAUUUGUGUCAUGUUUACAAGAAGCAAUGUUCAUUCAUGAAACUCCAAUUGCCACUGAUUCAAAGUGCACAAAAGUUAAUGGACAGUCAACAAAGAAGCUAUUUUGUUAAUUACUUUAGCUAUAGUUAAGAUGGACAUGCAUACUGAACAAUUUAGGUGCCAAAGCUUAUGCACAAGUUAAGUAGAUACUAUCUAAAAAGUAAUAUAAGAAAAAAAAAA